GACGAACGCUGGCGGCGUGCUUAACACAUGCAAGUCGAACGGAAAGGCCCUGCUUUUGUGGGGUGCUCGAGUGGCGAACGGGUGAGUAACACGUGAGUAACCUGCCCUUGACUUUGGGAUAACUUCAGGAAACUGGGGCUAAUACAGGAUAGGAGCUCCUGCUGCAUGGUGGGGGUUGGAAAGUUUCGGCGGUUGGGGAUGGACUCGCGGCUUAUCAGCUUGUUGGUGGGGUAGUGGCUUACCAAGGCUUUGACGGGUAGCCGGCCUGAGAGGGUGACCGGCCACAUUGGGACUGAGAUACGGCCCAGACGCCUACGGGAGGCAGCAGUGGGGAAUAGUGCAAAAUGGGCGGAAGCCGGAUGCAGCAACGCCGCGUGCGGGAUGACGGCCUUCGGGUUGUAAACCUCUUGCGCCUGUGACGAAGCGUGAGUGACGGUAAUGGGUAAAGAAGCACCGGCUAACUACGUG
Molecule: ribosomal RNA, 468 nt
Filed under: uncultured bacterium
Lineage: Bacteria
Description: partial 16S ribosomal RNA
Rfam family: Bacterial small subunit ribosomal RNA
Source: RNAcentral